AUGUUGUGAAAACCUUUUUGUAGGUUCUUUUUUAUUUAAAUAGUGCCAAAUUCAAAAAUAAAAGGAAAAAGAUGCUUGUACGCUCGUUAGAUUUGCUAACUCAAUUGAUACUACUGUGUCUAGAUCAGUGUUCCCGAUUCCUCGCUGCAUACUUCAAUGAGAAAGGAAAAGAGCUUUGUUGCAUGCUUCUUCGGGUGUGGUUGCAAGAUCUCGCUUUCAGUUCGAAAUGUGUACGUAGCUUCCUUGUACAAUAGCUCUCUCAUUUCACUUGUUUGUAUUUCUAGGUUCUCACCAUGAAGGCGCUCCUAUUGCGGUCACCUAGAAUGAUAAAUUUGAUGACACAUACUCUCCUUAUGUGCAAUAUCCACUGUUGGAAAAGACAAGGAGUAUUUACAUGUGGAUGUACUGAUCCUAUAAUCUAAAGAACCUACAUUUGUUUUUCUCUAAAACUCUAAAGAUGUCAAUGCCUGAAACUAGAUAUAAUCUUUUUUAUUAGUCCAUAAACCUUGCAUAAUUGGAUAUUUAUUUAUAAAAAAGAAAAAGAAAAGAAAACUUGCACAAUUUGAUUAUACAGGCCUGUUGAUUUGGCUGGUUUAGUUCUGAACCCUCAUUCAGUUUGGUCUGGUUUGAUUUAAUCUGGUUAGGGAUUUAGGUCCGAAAAGUUUGUACAUGGUUCAGUCAAUUUGAAUAGGUCCAGGAUUGAAACCAAAUUUACUUGGUUAGGAUUUGUGUUUAUCUAUGGACAGCUUCUCUUGGUUGGUCUUGUUUUUCUUUUCAUUUGUGAAAACCUUCUUGUGGUUUAGUUGAUCACAUAAGCUAGCUGGCGAGCCAAUACUAGGUGUUGGAUGUGGAUAAUAUUGAAUGGGUGUAUGAUACUACCUUCAGGUGUCAUGUGUACAGGUUCGAACCUGUCCUGUUUUGCUGGUUAUUUUUUAGGGACAGCCUGAUGGAUUUUUUAUUGAGCUAUUUCUUGGAAGAAAUUUGCAUAACUUUCAAUUGUGAAAGAGUUUGCACUAGCUUAACAGCUCAAGUAAAUGAUGGUCAUGUAAUGACAUUUUACUUGUUUGUAUUUUAGCUUUUGAUCCUGAAGGCACGCCUACUGUGAUCUUCAAGAAUGAUAAAUUUGAUGACGCGUAUUAAGUUUCUCUGAUAAUGUUAUCAGUGGAAGUGGCACUGGAUGUCCAUGAUCUUCAAAAGUUUAAUUAAUAUUUGAACUUUGAUCGAGGGAUGAGUACCUUGAUAUAUGUUGUGUUGGAGAUGACAUUUUCAAUGGUGUUGUAAGCUGUCUAUAAAAGGUCGUUUGGAACUAGAGUAAAUAUAUUUUCCAUAAUAUUGUUCAGGUUUUGAAGUUAUAACGUUCUGAUGACAUGAUUUUUGACAUAAACUCUGCAGCAUUACAGUGGUCUUUUUUGUUGUUUCUGAUCGUAGUUAUCUUGAGUUGUAGUUGUUUGAUAGCUCCUCUGCAGCACCUCCCUUCAGAUGCUGUUAUUAGCUAUUCAUUGAGCUCGUUCCCAUUGCAUAUUUAAAAUUAAUUAAAACAUUGUUUCGUUUGCUUGCUUUGAUGGUUAACUUGUGCAGGUUAGCAUUUAGUUUGCCUUUCUUUUUGAGCUAUUUCAGUACAGGUGGUGAAUCAACUGGUAAGGUCCUAGAUCAGAUAUCAUGCUGAUGCUCCUCUGGUUAAUAGCUCUGCCAUACUACAAAGCAUGUGUCCACCACUCUGUAAUCCUUGAAGAUGAAAAGGCAUUCCCAUGUCCUUGUGGAGAAUAACCAUUGGAUCAGAUCUGCAAUAACAAUGAGCUUGGGUUUCAGGUGACAUCUCAAGUCAGCUUCCAGGAACUGGUCAGAUUUGAUACCGUGAGCAUCUUUCUCUGCAGGUUUGCGUGACUGCUAUAGUUGUGCUAAAGCAGGGAAGUCAUUCAAUUAUUUUUACCACCUCCAUUCCAGUAGGAAAGCAAAGGGAGAAUCUGCCAUCUACUUCUGUUUCUAAUUUUUCACAACGUAAUCAUGCUUAAUCGAUAUAAUUGCUGCAGAUUUGAGUAAAGUUGCUGCAAGAGUUCCAAACAGCGAUAUAUUUCUAGGAAAUAGUGGUGGAUAUUCUUUAAAUGUGACAUUAUGCUGCCAGAAAACAUCUAAGACCCAGACUUCAUAUUAUUUAAUCGAACAAUCAUGAAGAAGAAAGACACUAUCAAAUCUGUAGGGAAGCUGAACAUGUUGCUACCUCUAUUCAUAUUCUUCUUCCUUUUCUUGUUGGUCAAAAUUUUAGAUCCUAUUGAUCUAGAGUAACUACUAGGUGAAGUAGCUUUACUUGUGGGGGUAGAGAUCUGCGGUUAUAGCCUUGAUUUUGAAUAUUUAGAGGCCUCAGGCAUAAGUAUGACAUGUCUGGCUUCGCAUUUGGGAUGAAAAAUUAGGUGUCAUUCUUGACUUAAUGAGCAAAAAUUUGUUUUCCUUUAUAAGAAGUAAGUUGCUUUCUUGACAACAGAGGUUUCUCCGAUGGUCAAGGUUGUGGGUUUGAGUCACCAAAGGAUCGAUAACUCCAACAAGAGGGGGAUCAAAGAGGAAUAAAAAAAAAAGUUGCUUUCUUAGCGACUUCAUUUUGAAAUUUCUUUGCUCUCUUUUGCAGUUUCCUUUCUCUUUAGGAUAUACUUGAAACGAAUUUCGUUGAACAUUGUUACUGUCAAAUUGCAUUAGAUCUGGAAGAUGCUUCAAUCAGGCAGUUUGCUCUUUUCCAACUUAAAUUUGAAUGUCCCUUGAGGACUUGAGAUUGACUUGUGGGAUCGGAUACAGAAAUUUACAGUUGAAGUUGCGUCAGCCCAGCACCUGAUAAAGAAGGCCAAAACCAUUUUGAUUCAACUGUGCGGGCCUUGUUUUUUUAUUCGUUCUAAGUUAAUGGAGAAGUAAAUCUGCUCUAAGUUAUAUUACAAUUCUUUAGUUUGUAACUAAGAUUCGUUUUACUUACAAUUCUUGAACUAUUGGCCAACAUGUGCAUAUGAAUCGA
Nicotiana tabacum (common tobacco) is the source of this 2995-nucleotide non-coding RNA. The record is from RefSeq and is a predicted model, not a curated record. NCBI's taxonomy places the organism in Eukaryota, Viridiplantae, Streptophyta, Magnoliopsida, Solanales, Solanaceae.